CAGAACGGUAACAGGCCUGAAUGGCAAUGGCGGCUACUAGCGCAGCUACCAUUCGCCGCCAUGCGUCCGUUGACAGGUUGGAAUAGAUGGUGCCAGUGGUAGCAUCCAUCCUUUCACCUGUGUGCGUCGGUGAUGGGGUUUGCGGGUGCGUGGUGAGAGAGGGGGACAGGUGCACGCUAUCAUGAACCAGGCUAAAUUCGUAAUAAUUCGCCCCCCAUGCGCCACAAACCCCACCCAACCUGAAACCCCUUAGUUCCCCAGAUCCAUUUCCACGUCUGAAGGCGGGUUCGUGUGUCGGUUGUGACAGAGCGAGGUGAGCCCGAGCGCGAAGCCCAGCUGGCGCUACAACCUUUGGGUCAAAAGUCAACGAUAGCCGCUGCGGGCCAGGCGCGUGGCCUCGCUGGGUCGCUGGUUGCACCCAGCAUGGCGUUUCGCAAGCUUAACUGGUUUUGGUUGCAAGUUCCUUCGCGGCGAUGCUCCAAUUGCGCCCUAUGCACUGGUUGCAGGUCGUCGGCGGUGUUCCGGCGUCAUGCUUCCGUGGCAAAAUGUAUGAUGCGCUCCGGUC
This 565-nucleotide long non-coding RNA is filed under the name Chlamydomonas reinhardtii. RNAcentral's name for it is "long non-coding RNA (CREI_LNC000908)". The record is from RNAcentral. Lineage: Eukaryota; Viridiplantae; Chlorophyta; Chlorophyceae; Chlamydomonadales; Chlamydomonadaceae.